GAUGAACGCUGGCGGCGUGCCUAAUACAUGCAAGUCGAGCGAACAGACGAGGAGCUUGCUCCUCUGACGUUAGCGGCGGACGGGUGAGUAACACGUGGAUAACCUACCUAUAAGACUGGGAUAACUUCGGGAAACCGGAGCUAAUACCGGAUAAUAUAUUGAACCGCUUGGUUCAAUAGUUCAAGACGGUUUUGCUGUCACUUAUAGAUGGAUCCGCGCCGCAUUAGCUAGUUGGUAAGGUAACGGCUUACCAAGGCGACGAUGCGUAGCCGACCUGAGAGGGUGAUCGGCCACACUGGAACUGAGACACGGUCCAGACUCCUACGGGAGGCAGCAGUAGGGAAUCUUCCGCAAUGGGCGAAAGCCUGACGGAGCAACGCCGCGUGAGUGAUGAAGGUCUUCGGAUCGUAAAACUCUGUUAUUAGGGAAGAACAAAUGUGUAAGUAACUAUGCACGUCUUGACGGUACCUAAUCAGAAAGCCACGGCUAACUACGUG
RNAcentral lists this ribosomal RNA (497 nucleotides) under uncultured bacterium. RNAcentral's name for it is "partial 16S ribosomal RNA". It matches the Rfam family "Bacterial small subunit ribosomal RNA", at positions 28 to 507 of the family's 1533-position model. The record is from RNAcentral.